This 301-nucleotide ribosomal RNA is filed under the name uncultured bacterium. RNAcentral describes it as "partial 16S ribosomal RNA". It matches the Rfam family "Bacterial small subunit ribosomal RNA", at positions 509 to 807 of the family's 1533-position model. The record is from RNAcentral.
CAGUCGCCACGGUAAUACGAAGGGUGCAAGCGUUACUCGGAAUUACUGGGCGUAAAGCGUGCGUAGGUGGUGGUUUAAGUCCGUUGUGAAAGCCCUGGGCUCAACCUGGGAAUUGCAGUGGAUACUGGAUCACUAGAGUGUGGUAGAGGAUAGUGGAAUUUCCGGUGUAGCAGUGAAAUGCGUAGAGAUCGGAAGGAACAUCUGUGGCGAAGGCGACUAUCUGGGCCAACACUGACACUGAGGCACGAAAGCGUGGGGAGCAAACAGGAUUAGAUACCCCAGUAGUCCCUGUCUCUUAUAC